UACGGAGGAUGCAAGCGUUAUCCGGAUUCAUUGGGUUUAAAGGGUGCGUAGGCGGCUCUUUAAGUCAGUGGUGAAAUCCUGUCGCUCAACGAUAGAAUUGCCAUUGAUACUGAAGAGCUUGAGUACAAUUGAGGUAAGCGGAAUGUGUAGUGUAACGGUGAAAUGCUUAGAUAUUACACAGAACACCAAUUGCGAAGGCAGCUUACUAAACUGUCACUGACGCUGAUGCACGAAAGCGUGGGGAGCGAAC
RNAcentral lists this ribosomal RNA (250 nucleotides) under uncultured bacterium. RNAcentral's name for it is "partial 16S ribosomal RNA". It matches the Rfam family "Bacterial small subunit ribosomal RNA", at positions 524 to 773 of the family's 1533-position model. The record is from RNAcentral.